GGGCGAUUAGCUCAGCGGUUAGAGCGUCCGCCUUACACGCGGAAUGUCGGGGGUUCGAAUCCCUCAUCGCCUA
RNAcentral lists this transfer RNA (73 nucleotides) under Planctomycetales bacterium 71-10. RNAcentral describes it as "tRNA-Val". It matches the Rfam family "tRNA". Rfam says of the family: Transfer RNA (tRNA) molecules are approximately 80 nucleotides in length. Their secondary structure includes four short double-helical elements and three loops (D, anti-codon, and T loops). Lineage: Bacteria; Pseudomonadati; Planctomycetota; Planctomycetia; Planctomycetales. The record is from RNAcentral.